GGUUGGGGGCUAAGUGGGGCUGAAAGGGAAGGGGUCACUUACGGAUCCGCCCAAUGUAAUGGUCAAAUAUGGACCACCCAAAACUGCUCUUUAUUGCAUUGAUCUUCGGGCAGGUAGUUAUGGCCUUACUGUACAAGGUCCGUAAAGACCAUUAUUCCGAUGUACUCAUGUGAUAACAAAUUUUAGUAUUAACAGAACUGAUCCACCUGAACAUUAGACGCCCUAGCUUACUCCACCUGUUAAUUAUACACCUUAACCUAACCUAACAAUGUUAACUUAAAUCUAACCUUUAACCUUUAUGUUAACGUAACCAAACCCAGUCCCCAUUGGUGUUAAAUCAUCAGGUGAGUUAAAGCAAUGGGUGGCUAAUCUUCAGGUGAUCCAUAUGUAUAGGCUAUGACAGGUGAUGGUAGUUAUCCUUUAAUACUUGACUAAAGCCCUCUCCAUCCCUCCAUUAAUGCAAUGUCUUACAGUCAGACACCUUCUAUGUCUGUUUAUGUCUUAUGUUGAUGACUCAGCCCCUGGUGAGUGACGGGGCCGGACAGACAGACCUUCACUCCGGGGUGUUCUGUAGAAUCCAAGCUUAUGAGGUGUGCCAUGGAGGUCUGAGUGUAGAGACCUUGAGUUAUACCUUGACCUCAGGUGUUGUAGCUGGAGUUAUACCUUGAUCUCAGGUGUUGUAGCUGGAGUUAUACCUUGACCUCAGGUGUUGUAGCUAGUCAUACCUUGACCUCUGGUGUUGUAGCUGGAGUUAUACCUUGACCUCAGGUGUUGUAGCUGGAGUUAUAUCUUGACCUCAGGUGUUGUAGCUGGAGUUAUACCUUGACCUCAGGUGUUGUAGCUGGAGUUAUACCUUGACCUCAGGUGUUGUAGCUAUAGUUAUACCUUGACCUCUGGUGUUGUAGCUGGAGUUAUACCUUGACCUCAGGUGUUGUAGCUGGAGUUAUACCUUGACCUCAGGUGUUGUAGCUGGAGUUAUACCUUGACCUCAGGUGUUGUAGCUGGAGUUAUACCUUGACCUUAGGUGUUGUAGCUGGAGUUAUACCUUGACCUCAGGUGUUGUAGCUAGAGUUAUACCUUGACCUCAGGUGUUGUAGCUGGAGUUAUACCUUGACCUCAGGUGUUGUAGCUAGAGUUAUACCUUGACCUCAGGUGUUGUAGCUGGAGUUAUACCUUGACCUCAGGUGUUGUAGCUAGAGUUAUACCUUGACUUCAGGUGUUGUAGCUGGAGUUAUAGCUUGACCUCAGGUAUAGAGGAGAAGUGCUUACUGCUUGACGUGGGUCAGUUGAGCUAGAACACAGACAGCUAAUAUUAUAUGCAAAACACAUUAUUAACAUAUCAUUAACAGGUAACUAACGAGCAGUAGUUCAGGACGAGGUAGUUAUCGUUGGUCAGGUUCACGAUACUGAUAAGGUUCAGGGUUCAGGUGUUUUGCUAUCUUGUUAAUUUGAACCUCUGUCUGGUAGAAGGGAUUCUGUCAGGGGUUCAGAGACAAAACUAAUGUCUUUCUCACACACACAUGCACACACACACACACAUACACACACACACACACAUACAUACACACACACAUACAUACACACAGGUUUCAUUAAAAAACUCCAUCAUACUAAAUUUGAACUUCCUAAUAGAACCCCUCAGAACCUUACCACACAGUUCAGUGUUAGUCGGUAUGAGGUUCAGUUAUAACCGAAUUAACAAGGUUCGAAUAGGUUCAGAUUUUGCUUCGAACUGUUUCAGUAUCGUAAAGGUUCAAUUAUUUUAUAGUUUCGUUUGGUUUUGAAGGUUCAAUUAUUUUUACGUCAUUAAAAAUAGUACAGAUUAAUGUCAAGUAUUUAUGAAUUUUAUUAUAUUAUGUUUUAAAUAUUUUUGUUUGUAAGUAAUCUUUUGUAUGUGUGAAAUAAAUGUUAUCUGGGGACACGUCAUAUGAAGAGCUAUAUUUAUGAGAUAACGAUAUAUGUUUAAGAGACAACUAUACUCUUUAUAGAUGUUCCACAAUUAAUAUUUAUUGACAAUUUUAUCUCAUCAUAUACAUAACAAAUAUCUAAAUUAUUUCUUAUCAUAUUGUUUAAUUUUAAUAUUUAAACAUCUGAUUCUGUGUAAACAUUACCACUUGUUAAUUUGGGGAUUUGAAUACUGUGUUAUAUACGAUUUUAACAUUAAUACUUGUUUGUGUAUUAUUGAAACAUUACCAACUUAAACAUCAUAAACGUUUAUAAAAAGUUUGGAAUAUCAGAAAAAAAAAAUAAUAAACAUUUCAGUUAAUUUCAUAAGAACAAAUAAAGUAAACAAACAAACAAAUGUCAGUAGGGAUUUAUUGGUAAGUUUUAUGAGAAUUUUAUUUAAGUAACAUAAGUGAGAAUUUAAGUAGCUUAUUGUACCUUUUAUUUCUCUUGUAUUCGUGUCUGACUUAAGAAACAUUAAUACUUACACGAGCCAAUGGCCACAGCUACAGGAGCUACUUAGAUCCUGUAUACAUCAAGAUCAAUAAAAGCAUUACUUAAAUCA
RNAcentral lists this long non-coding RNA (2509 nucleotides) under Homarus americanus (American lobster). RNAcentral's name for it is "uncharacterized LOC121861902, transcript variant X4". Lineage: Eukaryota; Metazoa; Arthropoda; Malacostraca; Decapoda; Nephropidae. The record is from RNAcentral.